Molecule: unclassified non-coding RNA, 347 nt
Filed under: uncultured fungus
Lineage: Eukaryota; Fungi
Description: partial contains small subunit ribosomal RNA, internal transcribed spacer 1, and 5.8S ribosomal RNA
Rfam family: Eukaryotic small subunit ribosomal RNA (bases 1-73)
Source: RNAcentral
GCAAACUUGGUCAUUUAGAGGAAGUAAAAGUCGUAACAAGGUUUCCGUAGGUGAACCUGCGGAAGGAUCAUUAUUGAAUAAACCUGGCUUGCUGAUGCUGGUCUCUCCGGAGGCAUGUGCUCGCUUGUCAUCUUUAUAUCUCCACCUGUGCACCUCUUGUAGAACUGGGAUGUGGGACUGCUGUGCAUCUUAGCAAUGCCAGCUUUCCUUGUUUCUCUCCAGUGCUACGUCUUUCAUAUACACCAGAAAUGUAAAUGAAUGUUGAUCAUGGGUCUUCGUACCUAUAAAACAAAUAUACAACUUUCAGCAACGGAUCUCUUGGCUCUCGCAUCGAUGAAGAACGCAGC